This is a long non-coding RNA of Marmota monax (woodchuck), 279 nucleotides long. RefSeq lists it as uncharacterized. Lineage: Eukaryota; Metazoa; Chordata; Mammalia; Rodentia; Sciuridae. The transcript is spliced from 3 exons. The record is from RefSeq and is a predicted model, not a curated record.
GAAAAACACAGAAUGAUCCAGAGAAAAAAACAAAACUCAGAAAGAGCAGUUAAAUGGAAUGAAGCUUCCCUGGGAAAACAUUCUGGAUAAAUGAAAGCAUGGGACUUACCAGAAAACCAGGCAAGGCCAUACAAAAAACACCAAGCCAAACACUACCUCAAGGAGAGUUUUACAGGUGACUGAGGAUAACAAAAUUCUGAAAAUACGCCUGGUAUUGAACUGAACAAGAAGGGCAUUUUUCAAUCAGCCCAAGCCAAUGUGGAAUUCAUUCACUUCUCU